CCUACGGGUGGCUGCAGUGAGGAAUAUUGGUCAAUGGGCGGGAGCCUGACCCAGCCAAGCCGCGUGAGGGAAGAAGGUACAGCGUAUCGUAAACCUCUUUUGUCAGGGAACAAAGGCGGGGACUAGUCCCCGGAUGAGGGUACCUGAAGAAAAAGCAUCGGCUAACUCCGUGCCAGCAGCCGCGGUAAUACGGAGGAUGCGAGCGUUAUCCGGAUUUAUUGGGUUUAACGGGUGCGAAGGCGGCCUGUUAAGUCAGCGGUAAGAGCCCGGGGCUCAACCCCGGCGAGCCGUUGACACUGGCUGUCUUGAGUUGGAGAGAGGUACGCGGAAUGCGCGGUGUAGCGGUGAAAUGCUUAGAGAUCGCGCAGAACCCC
RNAcentral lists this ribosomal RNA (374 nucleotides) under uncultured bacterium. RNAcentral's name for it is "partial 16S ribosomal RNA". It matches the Rfam family "Bacterial small subunit ribosomal RNA", at positions 338 to 710 of the family's 1533-position model. The record is from RNAcentral.